GAGAGACAGACGGUGUGAGAGAGAGUUGCGCGCACUGUUUGUUUACAGAUGGAUGUGUGAUGUGCAGCUCAGGGAUCAAUUUUUACACGAGACUGUUUAAUUGCAGUUUAUUUUGCGUCGUGCGCAACAUCUUACGCGCCACUGGAUUAACACGAACGUGCGCAGAUUUGGGAUUUUCGCAUCUCACUAUCACAAAGAAGUCGUGUAUCCAGCUGGAGGACUCUCUCUCUGGCCAGUUAUGGCUCAGGAUUUGGCAGAGUUGUCUGAAAGAAAGUCGCAAUGGGGCUUCCUCAUCAUCCCCGACAAUGCCAGCAUAACUCAUCAGAGCAAUAAGGCCGAUGCAGAACAG
Labeo rohita (rohu) is the source of this 349-nucleotide long non-coding RNA. RefSeq lists it as uncharacterized. The record is from RefSeq and is a predicted model, not a curated record. NCBI's taxonomy places the organism in Eukaryota, Metazoa, Chordata, Actinopteri, Cypriniformes, Cyprinidae. The transcript has 4 exons.